Hemicordylus capensis (graceful crag lizard) is the source of this 777-nucleotide long non-coding RNA. RefSeq lists it as uncharacterized. The record is from RefSeq and is a predicted model, not a curated record. The transcript has 3 exons. Lineage: Eukaryota; Metazoa; Chordata; Lepidosauria; Squamata; Cordylidae.
CUGUACAUCGGAAAGUAAUUUAGCCGAUAUAAUGACAAAGCCCCUAUGUGCCAUGAAGCACCAUGAAAUAAUUGAAAAACUGGGGUUGCGCACCACCUCACAGUAAAUUGGAGGGGUGUCAGGAGGUAUUUCCUGUAAGGCAGUGCUAAAACAAAGUGCAAGUCACUACUGCUGCAAUCAGAGAGAAACUGCUAACAGGUGAAUCUAAGCAGGAGGUAUGUAACAGGUCAUGUGAGCGAGAUAUGACUGAAUGUGAUUGGCUAGGGCCAGUAUAUAUACAGACCCUAAGUAAGAGUCCUUUGUCCAGCUUGUAACUCUGUAACACUGUGGACCUGCUGCUGUAGUCCAUGUUCCUGCUUUAAGUGUCUUUAUGUGUAUCUGGACCAGCUGUGGACUGUAUAUCAUGAGGAAAGUUGCAUUCAAGGAAGGGGUCCACAGAAGGAGCCACUGUUCACAGAGUGAGGCCUCAUUCACACUGAACACAUCUGCCGGACUCCUAAGCUGGACUCACUAAAUGGCAUGGUUUUCUGAUGCUCAUUAUGGAGGAAUAUCUCACCAGUUCAGUACGGUCAAGAAGUAAAAGAAUUGUGCUGGACUGGAAGGCAUGGGUUCAAGUCCCAUGACGGUCAUGGUGACUGCACUGGACAUGGUGAUGGACACUGGACCGCAUUGAGGGCAAGUCUCUGUCUCUCAGCCUCAUUUCAGCCCAAUUCAGACAUUAUAUUGUAUGUGCAUUUGGGUACAUGCAACUUACAAAUAUAAAUGUUUUUGUCUGAA